UCCCGUCGCAUAUGCGGGUCAUCAUAUGCACCUCCCUGUUGGACCUGGCCCCGGAUUUUUCCGGGGUCUUUUUU
This is a small RNA of Marivita geojedonensis, 74 nucleotides long. It matches the Rfam family "Singlet oxygen resistance RNA X". Rfam says of the family: SorX (RSs2461)like SorY is a singlet oxygen induced sRNA that counteracts oxidative stress by targeting mRNA for a transporter in Rhodobacter. It also has an impact on resistance against organic hydroperoxides. The record is from Rfam. NCBI's taxonomy places the organism in Bacteria, Pseudomonadati, Pseudomonadota, Alphaproteobacteria, Rhodobacterales, Roseobacteraceae.